GGGUUGUGAGGUUAAGCGACUAAGCGUACACGGUGGAUGCCCUGGCAGUCAGAGGCGAUGAAGGGCGUGCUAAUCUGCGAUAAGCGCCGGUAAGGUGAUAUGAACCGUUAUAACCGGCGAUACCCGAAUGGGGAAACCCAGUGUGACUCGUCACACUAUCAUUAACUGAAUCCAUAGGUUAAUGAGGCGAACCGGGGGAACUGAAACAUCUAAGUACCCCGAGGAAAAGAAAUCAACCGAGAUUCCCCCAGUAGCGGCGAGCGAACGGGGAGGAGCCCAGAGCCUGAAUCAGCAUGUGUGUUAGUGGAAGCGUCUGGAAAGGCGCGCGAUACAGGGUGACAGCCCCGUACACAAAAGCGCAUGUGCUGUGAGCUCGAUGAGUAGGGCGGGACACGUGGUAUCCUGUCUGAAUAUGGGGGGACCAUCCUCCAAGGCUAAAUACUCCUGACUGACCGAUAGUGAACCAGUACCGUGAGGGAAAGGCGAAAAGAACCCCGGCGAGGGGAGUGAAAAAGAACCUGAAACCGUGUACGUACAAGCAGUGGGAGCCCCACCACCAAAGCAUUUGCUGUACCGCGUUGACGGAGCGAAGCGACGUCAAACCGAUAAAACAGCAGUGUAAAGUGAGCCGCAGGGCGCUUUGCGCGACAGCGCAAAGGCAGGCGGUUUCGCGUAGCGAAAGCGAAUGCUUUGGGGUGGGGUGACUGCGUACCUUUUGUAUAAUGGGUCAGCGACUUAUAUUCUGUAGCAAGGUUAACCGAAUAGGGGAGCCGGAGGGAAACCGAGUCUUAACCGGGCGUUAAGUUGCAGGGUAUAGACCCGAAACCCGGUGAUCUAGCCAUGGGCAGGUUGAAGGUUGGGUAACACUAACUGGAGGACCGAACCGACUAAUGUUGAAAAAUUAGCGGAUGACCUGUGGCUGGGGGUGAAAGGCCAAUCAAACCGGGAGAUAGCUGGUUCUCCCCGAAAGCUAUUUAGGUAGCGCCUCGUGAAUUCAUCUCCGGGGGUAGAGCACUGUUUCGGCUAGGGGGCCAUCCCGGCUUACCAACCCGAUGCAAACUGCGAAUACCGGAGAAUGUUAUCACGGGAGACACACGGCGGGUGCUAACGUCCGUCGUGAAGAGGGAAACAACCCAGACCGCCAGCUAAGGUCCCAAAGUCAUGGUUAAGUGGGAAACGAUGUGGGAAGGCCCAGACAGCCAGGAUGUUGGCUUAGAAGCAGCCAUCAUUUAAAGAAAGCGUAAUAGCUCACUGGUCGAGUCGGCCUGCGCGGAAGAUGUAACGGGGCUAAACCAUGCACCGAAGCUGCGGCAGCGACACUGUGUGUUGUUGGGUAGGGGAGCGUUCUGUAAGCCUGUGAAGGUGUGUCGUGAGGC
This 1376-nucleotide ribosomal RNA is filed under the name Salmonella enterica subsp. enterica serovar Enteritidis. RNAcentral's name for it is "partial 23S ribosomal RNA". It matches the Rfam family "Bacterial large subunit ribosomal RNA", at positions 1 to 1269 of the family's 2925-position model. The record is from RNAcentral. Lineage: Bacteria; Pseudomonadati; Pseudomonadota; Gammaproteobacteria; Enterobacterales; Enterobacteriaceae.